UACAUGUACAAUAGACACAUUUUGUACAUGUAUUACAUGUAUAUACAUGUGCGUCAUCUUCUUCUUCUAAUUAUUGCAACAACCUCCAAUAUGGGAUAUUUUAAGUUGCAGGUGCGUAGUGGCUAGUUGACUCUUCUUUUGAUUACUGCAACAACUUCCACUAUGGGAUAUUUUAAGGCACUAAAGGAUAUUUUUAGGUACUAUGGGAUAUUUUAUGGCACUGUGGGAUAUAGGAUAUUUUAAGGCACUAUGGGAUAUUUUAAGGCGCUAUGAGAUAUUUUGAGGCACCAUGGGAUAUUUUAAGGCACUAUGGGAUAUUCUAAGGCACUAUGGGAUAUUUUAAGGCACAGUGGGAUAUCUUAAGGCACUAUGGGAUAUUUUGAGGCACCAUGGGAUAUUUUCUUUGUAUAUGUACACACCAGUACCGUAGUAUGUAUGUUGAUGCACAGGUGCAGAGAAGGUACAUGUAUGCAGGAUUUUGACCAUGUAUGGUACAUAACCAUUUUCUUGCUAUUAACCAAAAAUGCAUUUGGUGCAUUGUUCCCUCUUUUUAGCUUUUGUUUGUUGGAGGAAGUGCUUGGUCUUUUGACAAAAUGACAGAGCUUGUGCAUUCAAGAAUACCCGGAACUGUGGAUCAAACAUGCAACUUCUUUGCAAGAAUUGACUCUACGUGACCUCGCCACCAGUGCUCUUCCAGCAAUUCUACUUUCCGCCAAAGCCAACUCUACCACUGCCAAGUACAUGUCCACCUGGUGUCAUUGGGAGUCCUGCACAAACUUCAAGCCUGGUAUCCCGGCCUUUCCUGCACAGCUAUUUCAUCUCUGCCUCUACAUCACAUGUGUCGCAACAUCCUUGGGGGCCGAGUCUGCAGCAAAGUUACUUUCGGCAGCAGUGAAGUGGGUGCACAGCUUGGCAAGUCUGGAAUCACCAACUGCUGAGGACCCCUGUCCAAACAGCUGUCCAGGGCUAUAAUCACAUCAACGCUUCACCUACAUGUAUUAUCUGAAAGGAGCCAGUUACUCCGGACAUUUUGGUAAAGUUGGUCAUUCCAGCACUUCAUCAGCGGAUCUUUGCAUCUUGUUUAUUUCUUUUAUUAGCUACACUGGUUUUCUUAGAUUUAAUGAAAUCAGCACCAUCAGAUGCAAUGAUUGUAAAUUUGUUUUUAUAAUGACAGCCUCGAACACUUUAAUACCAAGAUCAAAAACCAAGAAAUUUAGACAUGGGUCUGACGUCACAAUUGCCAGAACCCACAAAGCCACCUGCCCCAUAUCCAUUACUAAAAGAUAUAUCUCUGCUUUAGUAGAUCCUGGUGAUUCAGAGUUGCCCCUCCUUUACAGACUCACUAAUUCCAAAAAAAGGCCUCAUCCCCACCCCAUACAACCUCAGCUACACCAGAACAUGCGAGACAAUUCUGGGUGCUCUCAAACCUUUCCUGACCGAUAUAACCUGUUAUGGUCUUCACAGUCUUUGGUCCGGUGGUGCCUCGGCAGCAUGCAAUGCUCACGUGCCUCCCGAAUUAAUAUCAAGACAAGGUAGAUAGAAAACUGUCAAGGCUCAUGAUGCAGAUUUAAAGCUCGAUCUUGUAAAGACCCUUUAAUAGGUUUGAACCCUUUUAUAAAUUUAUUCACCAUCGAUAAAUUCCAGCCUGUACGCCCUACGACUAAAAAAGAAAAAAAAAAAGGAAUUAAAUUGUCAGGUUGAGUUUUAUACUCUUACA
This 1717-nucleotide long non-coding RNA is filed under the name Acanthaster planci (crown-of-thorns starfish). RNAcentral describes it as "uncharacterized LOC110982963". The record is from RNAcentral. Lineage: Eukaryota; Metazoa; Echinodermata; Asteroidea; Valvatida; Acanthasteridae.